AUUCAACAAUUAUAAUAAUAGAAAUACUUGUUGUCACUUACAAAUCAAAAAAUGAUAAGAUUUUUUCUUUGUAAUAAAAAAAAAAAUAAUUUGUAAUGUGUAUAUAUAUAUAUAUAUAUAUAUUUGUCAUAUAAUAUAGACAUUAAUAUUAGUAGUUGAACAAUACACAAUACAAUAUGUUGUAUAAUAUGUUAAAAUUAUUAUUACAACGAUGUCUACCAAAAAAAGAAAAUUAUCCAAAAAUUCAUCAAUAUUUAGCUGGAAUAUAUGCAUUUAGUGCAUGGACUGCUGCUAUAUAUGUGUUUUAUCUAUCAAUACACGAAUCCUUACCUACAACUCCAGAACGAAGGCAAAAAUUUACAGAAAAAUUAGAAAAAGGAAAGAAAAUAGAAUAUAUAAAAAUUGAUGG
Long non-coding RNA from Apis laboriosa (Himalayan honeybee), 409 nucleotides. RefSeq lists it as uncharacterized. The record is from RefSeq and is a predicted model, not a curated record. NCBI's taxonomy places the organism in Eukaryota, Metazoa, Arthropoda, Insecta, Hymenoptera, Apidae. The transcript is spliced from 3 exons.